Molecule: long non-coding RNA, 328 nt
Organism: Ipomoea nil (Japanese morning glory)
Lineage: Eukaryota; Viridiplantae; Streptophyta; Magnoliopsida; Solanales; Convolvulaceae
Exons: 3
Source: RefSeq, a predicted model, not a curated record
AACAGAGUGACGCUUUCCCCUGUUCUCCACCCUAGCGACCUCUCUCCGAUGGUGGAGUAGCAGAUCUGGCAGCAACAGUGGACGUCGACUGGUGGUGAGCUCGGACAAUGGCAGUCUCCAUUCCUUUCCGGUGGCCGUAGCAGCGUCGACUUCACCUUCUUUGCAGUAGCGGCAGUUUCUCUCCGCCGGCAAUGGCCUUCCUCUUGGUGGCAUGGACUGGUCCCCGACGAGAAGAACCCGUAGGUUUCUCGUUAAAGUAGUUAGCUCGGGAGUGAGCUCAAGAAUCGAAUGCUUGGCUUUGGAAGCUUAGCUUGAGGAUAUGAAAUUA